Oreochromis niloticus (Nile tilapia) is the source of this 420-nucleotide long non-coding RNA. RefSeq lists it as uncharacterized. Lineage: Eukaryota; Metazoa; Chordata; Actinopteri; Cichliformes; Cichlidae. The transcript is spliced from 3 exons. The record is from RefSeq and is a predicted model, not a curated record.
CCCUUCUGCCAGGCACACCUGCACCUCCUAAAGCUGCAAUCAACAACUGUACUUAAGGACCAGCCUGAGACUUCACUCCUCGCCAGAUUGUCUGCUAUCUUUCUGUUGUCUUCCUGUUUCCAGUUUAAUCUGGCCUGGCUCAGCCUGUUCAACACCUGAUUCCUCGAAGCUGGUAUUCCUCCUGUAUGAAACCUCCAGCCUUCGAUCACCCCGCCUGCCCUGCUGGACCCUCCUGCUCCUCGGACCUAGUAACAGACCCGUAAGGACAGACUCGCUCAGGACACUUCCCGUCUCUGCAACGACAGAUCGCCAUUCCACACCCAAGGAUUAAAUCUCUACCAGUAUCAACACUCUCCCCCUGCCGUGACGUCCUGGUAUGACCUUCCCCGUAAUUACAUGUUACAAGUUAUUGUUGUAAAU